UGUUCACAUUUAUCUGCUUAUUUCUAAGUGGACUCUUGACUUUACAUAACUAGCCAAGUCUUCCUUCUUCACAACCACUUUAAUCUUCCUCCUCCAAUAUUUCAAACUACUCUCUAUCAGCUAAGCUUGCGACGUUUUCUUUCAUCUAACAAGAACAAAUGGCCGAUGCAAUCCUCUAUGGCGUUGUGCAGACGAUCAUUGAAAGCUUGGGCUCUUCCACUCUGAAUCAGAUUGGAUCGAUUUGGGGUGUCAACGAUGAGCUCGAAAAAAUGAAAAACACUAUUUCCACCAUUCAAGCUGUACUUGAGGAUGCAGAGGAGCAGCAGGUCAAGAACCACCAAGUCAAGGACUGGCUCAUGAAGCUCAGAGAUGCAGCUUUUGAUGCGGAUGACUUGUUGAGCGAGUUCACCACUCAUGUGUUGCAGCAAGAGGUGAUGGAUGGUCAUAAAAUUGUAAAGAAGGUACGCACUUUCCUUUCUAGUUCAAACCAACUUGUUUUUGGUAAUGAGAUGGCUGGCAAACUAAGUGCUAUGAGGGAGAGGUUUAAUGAUAUAGCAAAGGAUAGGAACAAUUUCCAAUUGAUAGAGCGUCCUUUAGAGACACGGGCUAUGAGUAGGGAGAGGGAAACUCACUCGUUUGUACGUGACAAAGAAGUUAUCGGGAGAGAGGAGGAUAAGAAGGCCAUCAUAGGUCUAUUGCAAGACUCUGAUGUGAAAGCAGAUGUUUCGUUCAUAUCCAUAGUAGGAAUUGGUGGGCUAGGGAAGACCACACUUGCUCAAUAUGUAUACAAUGAUAAGAUAGUCAAGGCUCAUUUUGAAUUGAAAAUUUGGGUGUGUGUUUCUGAAGUAUUUGACGUGAAAACAAUUGUUGAAAAUAUAAUUAUAUCCGCAACUAGAAAAAAACCUGAAAGCCUUAUAAUGGAACAUUUGCAAAUUGAACUUCGCGAAAUUCUUAAUCAAAAGAUGUAUUUACUUGUGUUGGAUGAUGUGUGGAAUGAGAAUGAAGAAACAUGGGGUAAACUGAGAACUCUUUUGUUGGAUGGUAAAAGGGGAAGUAAGGUGGUGAUAACUACACGGACUAAAUUGGUUGCACAUAUUACCAGCCCAAUGUCACAAUAUUCUCUAAAGGGCCUGUCAGAGGAUCAGUCUUGGUCAUUAUUGGAGCAAAUGGCGUUUGAAGAAGGGCAAGAGACCAUCAAGACUAACUUUAAAGCAAUUGGUAUGGAUAUAGUAAAGAAAUGUAAGGGAGUGCCCCUUGCUAUAAAGAUAAUAGGACGGGUCUUAAAUCACAAAAAAACAGAAGCUGAAUGGUCCUACAUCAAGAAUAUUGAACUCACAAAGGUACCUAAGUUGAAAGAUGGUAUUAUGCCGGUUUUAAAAUUGAGUUACGAUCAUCUCCCACCACAUUUGAAAUGUUGUUUCGCAUAUUGUUCAUUGUUUCCCAAAGAUUAUUUGAUUGAUAAGUUGACAUUGAUACAAUUAUGGAUAGCACAAGGGUUUAUCCAAUCACCAGAUGAGAACAUACUAUUAGUGGAUGUUGCCGAUGAUUACUUCAAGGAGCUACUUUGGAGAUCCUUCUUCCAAGAAGCAAAAGAAGAUGAAGGCAUGAUUAGGGGGUUUAAAAUGCAUGAUUUAAUCCAUGAUCUUGCACAAUAUGUAUCAGAGAUUGAUUGUACACUGGUUGAUUCCAAUGCAAAAAAUGUGAAAGAAAAAGGACACCAUCUAUCGUUUCCAUUUUACAAUGUUUCAUUCUUUGAGGAGAAUUUAAGCAAGUUGGUUAAAGCAAACAAGAUACGAACAUUUAUAUUGGCGUACAAUAAUUGGGCCUAUGGUCAGGGAAUAAUUAAAGAAUCAACUCUCGAAAAACUUAUUUCUAGUUUUAGAUACUUGCGUGCAUUAGACCUACAUGGUUUAAAUAUGAAGAUGUUGCCAGAUACUAUAGGUACUUUGAUGCAUCUAAAGUACCUUGACCUUUCCUCUAAUGAUAUUGAGGUUCUCCCUAGUUCUAUUACAAAAUUGGUGAAUUUGCAAACAUUAAAGCUUUGCUUGUGUAAAAAGCUUAGGGAGUUACCGGUAGAUAUUCAAAAAAUGGUCAGCCUCAAGCACCUUGACGUUUCCUCUAAAGAUUUUAACUCUAAUGAUAUUGAGGCUCUCCCGAGUUCUAUUGCAAAAUUGGUGAAUUUGCAAACAUUAAAACUCUGUAAGUGUAGAAAGCUUAGGGAGUUACCGGUAGAUAUUCAAAAAUUGAUCAGCCUCAAGCAUCUUGACUUAGAAGAUUGUGAGAAUUUGACUCAUAUGCCACUUGGAUUAGGGCAAUUGACUUCUCUUCAAACAUUAAACUUAUUUGUUUUGAGUGAGGAUCCUGUAGGUUCUUCCAAGCAUUGCGGUGGGCCAGCGGAAUUAAACAAGCUAAAUGACUUGAGAGGAAAAUUAGUGAUUAAAAAUUUGGCACGGGUGAAAGAUGCCACCCCAGAAUUCCAGGCUGCAAAUUUGAAGGAGAAGCAACAUCUCAGUGAGUUGAAAUUAAGGUGGAAUCCAGAGGGUGAUGAUGGUGUAGAUGCCGGUGAUGAUGAAAAUUCCAUGGAUAGCCUCCAACCACACGAAAGUUUAAAAUCUUUGGAAGUGGACGGGUACAUGGGUGUGAGAGUUUCAAGUUGGCUUUCAUUCUUAACAAAUCUCGUUGAAUUAACUAUACGCAAUUGUAAGAAGUGCCAAUAUUUGCCACCGUUGUAUCAACUCCCAUCUCUCCGAGUACUUGGUAUUUGGGGAAUGGAUGGUCUGGAGUACAUGACAGACGGGGAUAUGAAUGAUGAGAUAUAUGCUUCACUAGCAUCACCAUCAACAUUUUUCCCAUCCCUUGAGAGACUGAUCCUCAUUAACUGCCGAAAUCUAAAGGGAUGGUGGAGGAGUGUGGAUAAGGGGAAUGAGGCAACAACGACAUCAACAAUAUCAUCAUCGACUAAUCACUAUCACCAACACAUGUCGUACUUUCCACGUCUUUCUUUUUUUUAUUUCUGGGAUUGCCCUAAGAUGACUUGCAUGCCGCUAUUUCCAAAUCUUGAAAAACAGCUUUAUUUGAGGAAGAGCAGUUUGAAGGCAUUGGAAGAGACAAUAAAGAUGAAUAAUACGGGAGGAAGGGCUUCUUCAUUUCCGUCCUCUUCCUCUUCCUUCUCCCCUCCUCUCUCCAAAUUAAAGUAUUUGAGUUUGAAGGAAAUUGAGGAAUUGGAGUCUCUGCCAGAGGAGUGGUUUAAAAACCUAACUUCUCUUGAGAGAUUAGAGCUUGCGGACUGUCCCAAUCUGACGUCACUUCCCGAAGGGAUGAGUCACCUCACCUCUUUACAUAUCCUGAGAAUUGCUAGAUGUCCCCAAUUAAGGCAAAGAUGCAAGAAGGAAAAUGGAGAGGAUUGGGAUAAGAUUUCUCACAUCCCAAAUCUUAUCAUACCUUGAACUACUACAUACGCUUCCCUGAAAGAACAAGAGGAUUUCAAAAGGGAAGAUAGUAAAGAAGAAGAAAGCUUAUUCUUGACGUUUCAGAAGUUAGUACACAAGAUUCUUCUAGACAAAAAAUGGUUGAUUCAAACAUGGAUGAUGAAAAGACAAAAAAGUAGCACCGUGCAAAGCAAAUUUUUGAAAGAGUGCCAGCAGGAAACAGGAGAUGAUUGCUAAAAACUUCUAACAUCCUAGUGGUUCUAAGCGGAAAACCUUGUGAAACAGGUUUCAUCAUGGGCAGUGAAUUUGAGAAACAAGACAGCAACAUCAUUUCAAUUUUUCUUGAAGCGAUUUGAGAUUAUUUGCGGAAUUGCUCGAAGGAUCUUAUAUCUUCAUCAAGAUUCAAGAUUAAGAAUUAUCCAUAGAGAUUUAAAGGCCAGCAAUGUUCUACUUGACAAUGCAUUGAAUCCAAAAAUUUCAGAUUUUGGUAUGGCUAGAAUUGUUGGAGGGGAUCAAAUUGAAGCUAAUACGAAUUGCAUCGUUGGAACAUUUGGUUAUAUGUCACCUGAGUAUGCAGUGCAAGGACUAUUUUCAAUAAAGUCUGAUGUAUAUAGCUUUGGGGUAUUGCUGCUAGAGAUCGUUACUGGUAAAAAGAACAGUACUUACCAUCAUGAUGGUCCUUCCUCAAAUUUGAUUGGACAUGUUUGGGACCUAUGGAGAUAAGACAAUUCCAUGAAAAUAGUCGACCCAUUACUAGAUGAGGCAUACCCUGCUAAUGAAGUUUCAAGAUGCAUUCAAAUUGGACUUUUGUGCGUGCAAGAACAUGCAACAGACCGGCCAACCAUGUCAACUGUUGUUUUCAUGUUGGGUAAUGACACUCAUCUUCCUUCUCCAAAACGACCUGCAUUUAUUUUGAUGGGUACUGACAAUAGUACAAGUAGAUCAACCAGUGCAGCAUCUAAUUCAGUAAAUGAAAUAACACUUUCUAAAAUUGAUGGUCAUUGAAACCCGAAACUAUUUGUAGCAGGUGUACAAAUAUUCCAUUACAACAUAGGAUUGAGUUACUCUAUGUCUACUCCACAUUACAUUUUUUUUUUUUUUUUUUGUAUCAACAAUUGAACAUAAUGUAUGCACUAUAAAUUAUUACAAAAAAGAAGAUAAUAUAUAAUAUUACACAAACUGUG
Molecule: RNA transcript, 4612 nt
Organism: Quercus robur (English oak)
Lineage: Eukaryota; Viridiplantae; Streptophyta; Magnoliopsida; Fagales; Fagaceae
Gene name: disease resistance protein RGA2-like
Exons: 8
Source: RefSeq, a predicted model, not a curated record